AGUUUGAUCAUGGCUCAGGAUGAACGCUAGCGGCAGGCUUAAUACAUGCAAGUCGAACGGGAUUCAGGGUAGCAAUACUUUGAUGAGAGUGGCGCACGGGUGCGUAACGCGUAUGCAACCUACCUUUAACAGGGGAAUAGCCCCGAGAAAUCGGGAUUAAUACUCCGUAACAUUGCGGGAUGGCAUCAUUCUGCAAUUAAAGAUUUAUCGGUUAAAGAUGGGCAUGCGUGACAUUAGCUUGUUGGUGAGGUAACGGCUCACCAAGGCAACGAUGUCUAGGGGUCCUGAGAGGGUUAUCCCCCACACUGGUACUGAGACACGGACCAGACUCCUACGGGAGGCAGCAGUAAGGAAUAUUGGUCAAUGGGCGCAAGCCUGAACCAGCCAUGCCGCGUGCAGGAAGACGGCCCUAUGGGUUGUAAACUGCUUUUGUCAGGGAAUAAACCUGUCUACGUGUAGACAGCUGAAGGUACCUGAAGAAUAAGCAUCGGCUAACUCCGUG
This 502-nucleotide ribosomal RNA is filed under the name uncultured bacterium. Its description in RNAcentral is "bacterial SSU rRNA". It matches the Rfam family "Bacterial small subunit ribosomal RNA", at positions 10 to 507 of the family's 1533-position model. The record is from RNAcentral.